AGCGGUGUAGCGCAGUGGAAGCGUAGUGGGCUCAUAACCCAUUGGUCGGUAGAUCGAAACUACCCACCGCUA
Non-coding RNA from Hanseniaspora uvarum DSM 2768, 72 nucleotides. The record is from Rfam. Lineage: Eukaryota; Fungi; Ascomycota; Saccharomycetes; Saccharomycodales; Saccharomycodaceae.